RNAcentral lists this ribosomal RNA (225 nucleotides) under uncultured Flavobacterium sp. RNAcentral's name for it is "partial 16S ribosomal RNA". It matches the Rfam family "Bacterial small subunit ribosomal RNA", at positions 568 to 792 of the family's 1533-position model. Lineage: Bacteria; Pseudomonadati; Bacteroidota; Flavobacteriia; Flavobacteriales; Flavobacteriaceae. The record is from RNAcentral.
UGCGUAGGUGGUUGUUUAAGUCAGUGGUGAAAGCCCAUCGCUCAACGAUGGAACUGCCAUUGAUACUGUAAGACUUGAAUGCUUAGGAAGUAACUAGAAUAUGUAGUGUAGCGGUGAAAUGCUUAGAUAUUACAUGGAAUACCAAUUGCGAAGGCAGGUUACUACUAAGUGAUUGACGCUGAUGGACGAAAGCGUGGGGAGCGAACAGGAUUAGAUACCCCAGUA